This 133-nucleotide small nucleolar RNA is filed under the name Dasypus novemcinctus (nine-banded armadillo). Its description in RNAcentral is "Small nucleolar RNA SNORA31 (ENSDNOG00000040265.1)". It matches the Rfam family "Small nucleolar RNA SNORA31". Rfam says of the family: ACA31 (SNORA31) belongs to the H/ACA class of snoRNAs which are thought to guide the sites of modification of uridines to pseudouridines. ACA31 is predicted to guide the pseudouridylation of U3713 in 28S rRNA and U218 in 18S rRNA. Lineage: Eukaryota; Metazoa; Chordata; Mammalia; Cingulata; Dasypodidae. The record is from RNAcentral.
AUGUAUCUAUCUGACAGACCUAGAGUAGUUAAUGUUUGUUUCUAAGGUUUCCACCAAAGAUGCAAGACAAAAGAUCCUUGCACUUUCUGCUUGUCUGAUUAUGGCAGCCAAAAUUGAAUGGGGGAAUAUAGGA